UACCAGUUCUGGAUGCAGACACUUCAUUGACUCAGUAGGGAUUGGUAGUUAAUAACUCUAAACUAUAUAUAAUAAUAAAUAAUUCUAAAUUAUCUGAAGAUACAAUUCAAGCUGCUGAGCAUUUCUAGACCAACCUCAAUAUUCUCUAUUACAAGAGAAUUCUAUUCUUUAAUACUCUACCAUGAGUAUGUAGGCAGUUCAUCAUCUGCAUCUGUAUGACCAUAUGUAAUUUAGCUUGACAGGAGUUUGCUUCAGGCAGUAUGGCAAAACCUCAGUAACAUAUAUACAGAAUAGAAACUAGUCAAGAUGGCUAAGCUUCACAAUUCCCCAAUGGCAUGGUGUUGGACAGGGGAUAAAAAUGGUGGAUGUCACCUUGUCCCCCUGUUGUUACUAUACAGUGUUACUGCCUGCAAAAUGAUCCCCUCCUGUCCUGCCAGAAGGCCACUGCAUAUAUCUGCUUCUCUCUCUGCAAGAAUGAACAUGGUAAGGAACACCCACUUUGGCACAAUGUAGGAGAUGUGGGAUGGGCUACAACUCCUUCUCUUUCAAAGGCACCAGCUGUGAGCUUAAAGAAGGGGCACAGCCCACCAUGGCUCAACUUGCAACAUGGGAACAACAGCCCUUCCUGCCAGGAGCUGGGGAAGGUGACCACACACAGGGUGUGAUGUCUGGGGAUGUGUUCAUGGUGUGAGCAUCAACCCCUAAAGUCAAGUUGUGAGUGGUGUGGUGCCUGUAGGACCCAGUUCCCCGUGCAUUCUGGGGAGAGGGUUUAUCCUUGUUCCAUCAGAAUGGACCAGUCUACAUGGGAUAAGUGCACUCUCAGCAUCAAAGGGUAUUUAAAGUUAAUUGAGAUCAAGUCAGGCCAUCUGCCAGGCACCAUGACAAAUCCUCUCCAUCCACUGUGCAGGGAGCCAAGGUCCUGUACAUUUCCAUUGCAGGUAUUCCAUUCUCUAAGCUGGCUGACCAUUACAGACUUUGAUGAGGAAGGGACCAGGGUCAUCCAGGCAUCUGUGGACCUCAGGAUGAAAACUAUUAACUUACAUGCUUAAAAUAAAUCAGUGUUUGGAGGUUUGUUGAAUCA
Molecule: long non-coding RNA, 1081 nt
Filed under: Cyanistes caeruleus (blue tit)
Lineage: Eukaryota; Metazoa; Chordata; Aves; Passeriformes; Paridae
Description: lncRNA (ENSCCEG00000007675.1)
Source: RNAcentral